RNAcentral lists this ribosomal RNA (253 nucleotides) under uncultured bacterium. RNAcentral's name for it is "partial 16S ribosomal RNA". It matches the Rfam family "Bacterial small subunit ribosomal RNA", at positions 524 to 776 of the family's 1533-position model. The record is from RNAcentral.
UACGUAGGGUCCGAGCGUUGUCCGGAAUUAUUGGGCGUAAAGGGCUCGUAGGCGGUCUGUCACGUCGGGAGUGAAAACUCGGGGCUUAACCCCGAGCCUGCUUCCGAUACGGGCAGACUAGAGGUAUGCAGGGGAGAAUGGAAUUCCUGGUGUAGCGGUGAAAUGCGCAGAUAUCAGGAGGAACACCGGUGGCGAAGGCGGUUCUCUGGGCAGUAACUGACGCUGAGGAGCGAAAGCGUGGGGAGCGAACAGG